AGAGUUUGAUCCUGGCUCAGAGCGAACGCUGGCGGCAGGCCUAACACAUGCAAGUCGAGCGCCGUAGCAAUACGGAGCGGCAGACGGGAGAGUAACACGUGGGAACGUGCCCUUCAGUUCGGAACAACCCAGGGAAACUUGGGCUAAUACCGGAUACGUCCGUAAGGAGAAAGAUUUAUCGCUGAAGGAUCGGCCCGCGUCUGAUUAGCUAGUUGGUGAGGUAACGGCUCACCAAGGCGACGAUCAGUAGCUGGUCUGAGAGGAUGAUCAGCCUCACUGGGACUGAGACACGGCCCAGACUCCUACGGGAGGCAGCAGUGGGGAAUAUUGGACAAUGGGCGCAAGCCUGAUCCAGCCAUGCCGCGUGGAUGAUGAAGGCCCUAGGGUUGUAAAGUCCUUUCGGCGGGGAAGAUAAUGACGGUACCCGCAGAAGAAGCCCCGGCUAACUUCGUGCCAGCAGCCGCGGUAAUACGAAGGGGGCUAGCGUUGCUCGGAAUCACUGGGCGUAAAGCGCACGUAGGCGGCUUUUUAAGUCAGGGGUGAAAUCCUGGAGCUCAACUCCAGAACUGCCUUUGAUACUGAGAAGCUUGAGUCCGGGAGAGGUGAGUGGAACUGCGAGUGUAGAGGUGAAAUUCGUAGAUAUUCGCAAGAACACCAGUGGCGAAGGCGGCUCACUGGCCCGGUACUGACGCUGAGGUGCGAAAGCGUGGGGAGCAAACAGGAUUAGAUACCCUAGUAGUCC
RNAcentral lists this ribosomal RNA (742 nucleotides) under uncultured bacterium. RNAcentral's name for it is "bacterial SSU rRNA". It matches the Rfam family "Bacterial small subunit ribosomal RNA", at positions 8 to 796 of the family's 1533-position model. The record is from RNAcentral.